CCUACGGGAGGCAGCAGUGGGGAAUAUUGGACAAUGGGGGGAACCCUGAUCCAGCCAUGCCGCGUGUGUGAAGAAGGCCCUCGGGUUGUAAAGCACUUUCAGUGAGGAAGAACGCCUGGUGGUUAAUACCCACCAGGAAAGACAUCACUCACAGAAGAAGCACCGGCUAACUCCGUGCCAGCAGCCGCGGUAAUACGGAGGGUGCGAGCGUUAAUCGGAAUUACUGGGCGUAAAGCGCGCGUAGGUGGCUUGAUAAGCCGGUUGUGAAAGCCCCGGGCUCAACCUGGGAACGGCAUCCGGAACUGUCAAGCUAGAGUGCAGGAGAGGAAGGUAGAAUUCCCGGUGUAGCGGUGAAAUGCGUAGAGAUCGGGAGGAAUACCAGUGGCGAAGGCGGCCUUCUGGACUGACACUGACACUGAGGUGCGAAAGCGUGGGUAGCAAACAGGAUUAGAUACCCUUGUAGUC
This 465-nucleotide ribosomal RNA is filed under the name Vreelandella stevensii. RNAcentral's name for it is "partial 16S ribosomal RNA". It matches the Rfam family "Bacterial small subunit ribosomal RNA", at positions 338 to 795 of the family's 1533-position model. Lineage: Bacteria; Pseudomonadati; Pseudomonadota; Gammaproteobacteria; Oceanospirillales; Halomonadaceae. The record is from RNAcentral.